RNAcentral lists this ribosomal RNA (583 nucleotides) under uncultured eukaryote. Its description in RNAcentral is "eukaryotic LSU rRNA". The stretch from base 189 to 342 matches the Rfam family "5.8S ribosomal RNA". The record is from RNAcentral.
AAGUCGUAACAAGGUCUCCGUUGGUGAACCAGCGGAGGGAUCAUUAUCGAGUUAUUCAACUCCCAAACCCUAUGUGAACUUACCACUUGUUGCUUCGGCGCGCGCUUCGGCGCCGCCGAGGACACUUAAACUCUUUGUUUUUAUAAGCAUUUCUGAGUGGCCGAAAGGCAAAAAUACAAAUGAAUCAAAACUUUCAACAACGGAUCUCUUGGUUCUGGCAUCGAUGAAGAACGCAGCGAAAUGCGAUAAGUAAUGUGAAUUGCAGAAUUCAGUGAAUCAUCGAAUCUUUGAACGCACAUUGCGCCCGCCAGCAUUCUGGCGGGCAUGCCUGUUCGAGCGUCAUUUCAACCCUCGAGCCCGACUCUUUUGAGGACGGCUCGGCGUUGGGGGACGGCAGACUCCCCCCGGCAUCUCGCCGGGGACGCCGCCCCCGAAAUCUAGUGGCGGCCCUCCGAGGCGACCUCUGCGUAGUAACUUGUUCUCGCACCGGAAAGCUCAGAGCGGCCACGCCGUAAAACCCCAACUUUUUUCAGGUUGACCUCGAAUCAGGUAGGACUACCCGCUGAACUUAAGCAUAUCAAUA